Molecule: ribosomal RNA, 472 nt
Filed under: uncultured bacterium
Lineage: Bacteria
Description: partial 16S ribosomal RNA
Rfam family: Bacterial small subunit ribosomal RNA
Source: RNAcentral
GACGAACGCUGGCGGCGUGCUUAACACAUGCAAGUCGAACGAUGAACCCGGAGCUUGCUCUGGGGGAUUAGUGGCGAACGGGUGAGUAACACGUGAGUAACCUGCCCUGGACUCUGGGAUAAGCGUUGGAAACGACGUCUAAUACCGGAUAGGACCUUGGAUCGCAUGAUCUGGGGUGGAAAGUUUUUUCGGUCUGGGAUGGACUCGCGGCCUAUCAGCUUGUUGGUGAGGUAAUGGCUCACCAAGGCGUCGACGGGUAGCCGGCCUGAGAGGGUGACCGGCCACACUGGGACUGAGACACGGCCCAGACUCCUACGGGAGGCAGCAGUGGGGAAUAUUGCACAAUGGGCGAAAGCCUGAUGCAGCAACGCCGCGUGCGGGAUGACGGCCUUCGGGUGGUAAACCGCUUUUAGUAGGGAAGAAGGGCUUCGGCUUGACGGUACCUGCAGAAAAAGGACCGGCUAACUACGUG